AGAACUUGACCCUGUCAACUUGAAAUAAUCGAAAGAAUUAGAACCUAGCUUGAAAGAAGUUAUUUAAGCUUUGAAAAGCUGAGAAUAUCCAUCUGGGAAACACAGACUCCAGAGAAAUGAGGUGAGCGCUCUGACGUUAAAAAUUAAGCUUUUGCUUAUAUAGGCAGAAAACAGAGAAGUUUAGUUGGAUUGUAACAUUUUCUAUACAAAGCUGGUUUAUGAGUUACGGCAAUUUAAAUGGUGACAGUUUGUUUGCUGCUUGUUUUCAUUUUCUUUCCAAUUUAAAACAGUAUAUUUAGUAUUGCAUCUUAAGACAAUGUGAUAGCCAUAAAGUCUUUGUGUGAGAAAGGUAGGGAGAAAGUUAAUCUAUAAUGAAGAUCCACAGUGAAUAGGGAAGAGGUCUUCCCUGAGGCCCUUAAGUCAUUUACAUUUAAUAGAACAAUGUAGGGAAGGAAGAAGUUUAAUCUCUAAUCAGAGAAACACAGGUUUCAGUUGCCUGGGUUAUGUCUGCCUGCUUGCCUGACUCAGGCCCCAUAAUCACAUUCCUUUAAGGGUCAAAAUAAUUUAAAGUUCCAACAGCUUAGAUUUUGAAUUAUAUAUUUUCACAAGCCCCAUCUCCCCCACCACAAAACCUCACUGCCGUGGUUCCUCCACCAACCCUGAUGAUCCUGAAUAACAUCUGCUUCACUGUGCUGUAACGAGCGUCGCUGAAUAAUGUUUCCUUUAACAGAAGCGCCAAGAACUAUCUUUGCGAUUUUGCAAGAUUUUCCCAGUUUACAUUCAUCUCCUGCUUCAGGGUUUUCUUUCCAUUUAUUUUGACAAAACUAAAUGAAACUGGCAGUUAACUUUAACUGAGUAAUGAAAGACAACAAAAAGCAAACAGAGCUGGAGACAGAGAGAGAAAAAGAACACCAAUGAAUUAACUGUGGCAGCACCUUGAGAUUUGAUGUUUUCUGGCCUGCAGGCCUGGCUACGGGGCACCUAGAACCCUCAGGGCUAGAAGUUCCAGCUGCCCAUUGACUAAGCUCUAGGAAAGGAGAGGA
RNAcentral lists this long non-coding RNA (1043 nucleotides) under Homo sapiens (human). RNAcentral's name for it is "non-protein coding lnc-METTL21C-4:2". Lineage: Eukaryota; Metazoa; Chordata; Mammalia; Primates; Hominidae. The record is from RNAcentral.